Molecule: ribosomal RNA, 68 nt
Filed under: uncultured bacterium
Lineage: Bacteria
Description: partial 16S ribosomal RNA
Source: RNAcentral
CUGGGCUUGACAUAUUUGGAUGCCUACCGGGAAACCGGGUCGGCUAACGUUCGGGGUGAAACUUUUAC